RNAcentral lists this unclassified non-coding RNA (5277 nucleotides) under Leptinotarsa decemlineata (Colorado potato beetle). RNAcentral's name for it is "uncharacterized LOC111506572, transcript variant X8". Lineage: Eukaryota; Metazoa; Arthropoda; Insecta; Coleoptera; Chrysomelidae. The record is from RNAcentral.
GGAAAUCAAAGACCAGAAUCAAUCCAAAUGGUACAAACGGAUGUACGACACUAUACAUAAGCAGAAACCACAUAGCGACGAAUUGGUCACGGUUCGAUAUAGACAAAAAAGAGCACAAUAUCCGUACACUUCCGGUUACCUGUCGGAACCGGAACCAGGGGCGUACGAUAGCGACUUCACGGAUUACAAGUACCAAACAUUGGAUAGGAAAAGGACGCAGAUGCAGGAAAAAGUACCUUAUGUCACGUCUACCAUGCCCAGGCCUUCCACGCAAAGAUCAUCAUCGUCGGACAUUCUCAGAAGUUCACAUGAUUUCUACAAAAACCAACCCGGUAGGAUAGAAAACUAUACUCCAGGGCAUUCAUCGAUUUCUGAAAAGGAAGCAAAAGAGUGGUGGGACGAAGUUAUGGAUAUAUUCGACGGGUGGCUGGAUGAUAACUCCGCUUUGCCAAGUUACGAAGCCAUGUUCGCCACAGCUCUCUCAAGAUCCCACCUGGAGCAACAAAAACGGAUGCAACCCCACCCCAGAAGUUUCAUCAACCAGGCACUGAAGGAAUCUGGUUACGAAAGCGACUCAACUCUAGUAUUCAGGAGGAAAGAAAAAGGCGACCUCCAACUCAGUCCCAAGGAACAGAAGGAGGCGUAUAAGGUGAUUCAGAAAGGAGGCGAUGUACCACUUAAAGGUUUGAGAAAGCUUGCACCGGAAAGACCAAAAGAAACGGACUUUGUGGAGUUUUUCCCGAUUUCCCCCACCCUAACGCGAGUAAGAAUUCACAAAAAUAUCAAACCGCAGAAGGAAAUACUCUGCUACCCCGUUACAGUCCAUCAUUCUCAAGGCUCCUCUUUAGACUACAAAAGAACCGGUCCAUCCUUUGCCAUACCUGCCCCGCCUCCAAUUCCACCCCCUUCCCCUCCUAGAAGACGAUCUUCCAGAAAUAACCCCACUUUGAGAUUCGUUUCCACGAUGAAGAUCAAGUCCGACAAGUCUCCCGUUUGCAAAAGACACGAGACGUGCUUCACCACUUCUUCCAGCACCGAUAAAUCAAACGUCAAAUAUCUCAAGGACAAAAUAACUUGCAAGCUCUCACCAACUCUGAGUAAACGCAGCUCCAGCCCGAAGAUGAGCAUUUCUAAGAAAAUCACUACCACUUCUGACAUGAAAGGCAGAAUAACUUCGAGCGUAACUACUUCCAGGGAUGGUAGGUCAUCCUCGAGAAAUAUCCAGAGCAAGACGAAUGUUCAUAGCGCCAUAGGCAGAUCUAAGUCCACUGACUCUGUGAGGAAUCUUGCCAAGUUGUCCACGCCUAGGAAAAGUCCUAGCUCUUCAGUGGAAAGCUUGAAUUUGGUGAAGGUAGUACCCAAAACUUUUGCGUCAGAGAAACGUAAGUUCAACCUGAAUAUAAGGGCUAGUAAACUCGCUAAGUCACCAGAUCUCUUAUCCCCCACAGAGGUGAAGAAAGCAACGAUGACUCUCCCUGCUGGUGCGCAUUACAAGAAAUCUAACCCACUGGUAGCUUCAGGUAGAAAUGUCAAAGGUAAAGAGGCUGUCAAGGGUAAAACCAGCACUCCUUCUUCUCCGAAGCUUCCAAAAAGAUUAUCUCCGAGUCUUUCUACGUCUUCUGAGAGGUCAAAAGUCAUCAAGUCAUCCCAGGAAUCUCUAAGCUCACCCAGAAUGGCUAGAAAAGGCAAAGACAUCGUUAAACCCUCCGUUAAAGCUGAUAUUAUAGUUAAAGGAGACAAGGCGAAGAAAGAAAAAAUAAACGAUGAAAUAAAAAAAGAUAAAAAUAUCCAUAAAAAGGAUGUGCUUUUAGAUAAAUCGAUAACAGCAACCAGUAAAACAACCGUAAGCAAACAUCAGAAUUACAGUGCCUCUACCCUGAGUGACCUCAGAAAACAUAGAAGCGCCAUCCAAAGUGACCACUUUUUCCAACAUCUUCUCCUUAGAGAUGUAUCUCCAACUCCCUCUAACAUUAGCAGAAACUCUUGGAUAGUCGAGAAAACCAACCAACUUGCCAGAAGAUCGUCUUUCUCGGAACCCAGCAUCAGCGCCAUGAAAGUGUACCUGAAACAUACAAAACCCGUAACCGAUUCCAAAUUCAUCAGUCUGGAUAUGGCCACGAUACGCUCCAGAUCUGUCAGUCCAAAAUCAGUGAGCUUCGGCCAGAGCGCCAAGCCAAAAGAUACAGCUCCGACUAAGCGCAGUGCAAGUUUACCCCCCAAGCUAAUAUUUUCACAGACUAGCAGACCGGUGUCUCCCUUGGUGCAACGCAAAAAACUAGUAUCUCCUCCCCCGUCUCCUAAGCUGUGCAGAUCUCCGUCUUGCCGGAAAAUCAUGCAGUUCAAGCACCUCCAGCUGGACAAAAAACCGCCCGAAUACAGCUUGUAUAUGUGUCCAAACUUGAACCACAGCACCACGUCUUUGGACUCUUUGAAGAGCGAGGAUUAUCAAAAGUAUUUCCAUGAUCUUGUCCAGUCUGGUAAGCAAAGUGGCAAGUUCAAAGACCUGAACCAGUUCUACUCUGAAAUAGAGAAGGUAGGGAAACUUGAACGCUCCUGCAGUUUGAAGCCCAGAAAGAGAUGUGAGGGCGAGAUCAUAGAUUUUGAGAGAUGGAGAGAAGUCCGAACCAGGGAACGAGCUGAACGAGAGUUGGGGUUGCUGUAUAACCAAAUAAGGGCGGAGGAGAAGGAAAAGGGAUUCCUGUACCUACCCAAAGAUGUUGCCAAAUACAAAUGGAAGAGGGAGUUCGACAGAGGGCUGAGAAUCAAAGAGAAGUCUGUUGAGGAUAUCAAGGAAGAAUUCGAAAAGAUAAAAGAAGAAGAAUCGGAACGGGAGAACUCCAAACGCAGGGAACUCUCCUCUCUGAAAGAUACCUACAAACCUCUGUGGCGAGGAACUUCCGUGGUGGACAUAGCAAAUACCAUAGUAGAACGCCGAUCACAGUCUGAGGGUAGAAUCAAGACGGCAAGGCAGAGGCUGUUGGAUUCAGAGAAGCUGCUAACUCACGGAAUCGGUAGCAGAAUCUGGAGCAGCUUGUCUAUGGAGCAGGUAAACAUCCUGAAGGAACAGCUUGCUGAGAUAUACAACAACGUUCCCAAAGAGAAAGAAGAUUGCUCCAUCGAUGUACCUAAAGACAACAAGUUGACUUAUGUUCCAACCCUUACAGUGCGGAGAAACUCAGAUUCCUCCGAGCAGAUGUUCAAAGCACCAGUGUCGAAAAGCUCUGACAUGUCUGAAGACGACAAGAAGAUAAUCUCUCAGAGUUUGAGUAAAGAACUGCUGCAGAAGUUGGGAAGUUACCGCAGAGAGAAUAAAUCCGCCUUACCCGUAGUUGUUGGAAGGGAAAUAUUAGGCGCUGUAGCUGCUGCAGAUGCUAAAGUGAAAACUGAGCUACCUGCGAAAGCUCUGGUGAAAAGCGACGCUUUAAGUAACAGAAAAGUAUCUUCCACAAGUGAAACUGAGAGUGGGAGUACCGACGAAAGUACUAGAACUGUUAUCUGCGCAGAUAAGAGUGAUGAGAUCAAGAAGAAAGUGGAGUAUUUUGAAAAAGCUAAAGAGCUGGAAGCUUACACUCCAACCAUAUACAAGCCUGCUGACACCUACGAUAUUUCUGAGCCUCAAUGUGAGGAGAAAGCUGAAGUACCCGGAGAAAAAUCCAAGUUAUUCCAAUCCAAGUCAUGUCAGAGCCUCAAGGAUUACUUUGGUGAAAAGGAUCUUGUUAAGUUCGCCACCAUACCGCUUUCAGCUACGAGGAAGCAAAAGUUCACACCCAAAAAGCCUGAGUUGCGCGCCACAGAUAUGAGCCCCUUGAGAUCAGAGCUAUCAGCAACAACUAGCAAUGACAGUCUUUGUAGAAGCAGGUCCAUUUCCCCUUAUGAAAAGCAAUCUUCAGGAAUGACUGGUGAAGUGAGUCGUCUCAAGCAUAGAUUUGAAUACAUAGAAGAUAUUUUUGGAGGAAGUACCCUCAAACGAUCCAGAAGCGAAUCUGAUCUGCAUAGAAUCUACCCCGACAUCAACGUAGGCUAUGUUGACAGUUUGAGGAGAAAGUACGAGUACCCCGCAUACUCGGGGAGGGGGAGAAGCCGUACGAGAAGAGGGGGUGUCGUUUCCCCCCUCUUUUUGAGGGCUGAAGACAGAUUCAUGCCACAUAUCAAUAUCAUCAGCAAGAUAGCGAGUUUGUACACCAAAAAAGGAGCAAAGGGCGAGGGACACAUCAGAAGGAGCGUUGAAGAGUUAGCAGAGAUACUCGGGUGUCCAGUUGGUGAAGUGGAGAAGCUGAAAGAAAAGUAUGAUAGUCAGGAUGAUAUUUCUUUGGUGGGGCAUAUGUACACCUCCUCUCCCAGCAUUCGGGAACUGAAAGAUAUUGCUCCUUAUCUCACAGCUGAUUGGACAGCCCAUCGUUAUCCUAAGUUGGAGGAUAAUACAAGAUCCCUUUCGUCUCCCGAGCAUUCUGUGGCUUCUAGAGAUACCUCUCUAGUACGCAGAGAUAGAGCUAGACCCAAAUCCAUCUCCCCACCACCUAAAACAAAGAAAUCCCCUUCCAUUCUCAAACAUGUCCACCAGAAACAUCGGUCUGCGGAUUUUUUCCAAAAUCAGAAGUAUGAUCCGAAGAUUCACGAACCCGUUGCCCGAUACCGGCCGAAAGACGUGGCAAGACCCAGAACCUCCAAUACCGCCACCAAAGGGGCACUAUGCAAGAAGUCUAGAUCCAGAAUCUCCAAGGAAGUAUGUGGAGAACGAAGUGACCAUCCACUACAAAACCCCGGUACGUCAAGAAAUCAAAGAGUUCUUAAGCGAAGACGAAUUAGCUCACCGUCAGGCGGAAGCAAUGAAGAGAAUCUACGAAGAAGAAAGGCAGAGGAAACAUCUACAGGAACUUCGAGAUAUGCACUCCAGAAGACACACCGACAACUUCAUUCCUUCUCAAAAGUCUCCAAUCUCUCUUAACCGAUACGACGAUUUCGAUGAUUUAGCGCCCUCUCUUAAACUACUGCCAAAGUCGCCAGAUCCACGUCUCUGUGCUCGAGCCCUGUACAACUUUGUUGGCCAGACUGCAAGAGAGUUAACUUUCAGAAAAGGGGACAUAAUCUACAUAAGAAGACAGAUCGACAAAAACUGGUACGAAGGAGAAUUAAAUGCCAUGGUCGGUCUGUGUCCUACCAACUAUGUUGAGAUCAUCCCCUUCGAAGGAAGCAAACCGACUCCCCGUAAGGCCCACGAAGGCAAGGCUCGGGCAAAGUACAAUUUCGUGGCCCAAACUCAUCUGGAAUUGUCCCUUG